Molecule: ribosomal RNA, 2137 nt
Filed under: metagenome
Description: bacterial LSU rRNA
Rfam family: Bacterial large subunit ribosomal RNA
Source: RNAcentral
AGAGCGCACGGUGGAUGCCUUGGCACUAAUAGGCGAAGAAGGACGCGACUAACAGCGAAAUGCUACGGGGAGCAGUAAGUACGCAGAGAUCCGUAGAUGUCCGAAUGGGGGAACCCACUAGUUUGAAGAACUAGUAUCAUAUAGUGAAUACAUAGCUAUAUGAGGCAAACCUGGAGAAUUGAAACAUCUUAGUACCCAGAGGAAAAGAAAAUAAAUAAUGAUUCCCUAAGUAGAGGCGAUUGAAAGGGGAAGAGCCCAGCACCAUCAAGAGUUACAAAAUCUUUUUAUAGUAGAAUUGUAUUGGAAAAGCAAGUCAAAGAAGGUGAAAGCCCUGUAUACGAAAUAAAGAGAUCUCGGUGUGAGAGUAGGGCGGAGCACGUGAAAUUCUGUCUGAAUAUGCGAGGACCAUCUCGUAAGGCUAAAUACUCAUUAGUGACCGAUAGUGAACCAGUACUGUGAAGGAAAGGUGAAAAGAACCCCUGGCGGGGAGUGAAAAGAACCUGAAACCGUGUGCUUACAAACAGUUAGAGCCCAUCAAUGGGUGAUAGCGUGCCUUUUGUAGAAUGAGCCGGCGAGUUACGUUAAUUUGCAAGGUUAAGCUUUUAGGAGUGGAGCCGUAGCGAAAGCAAGUCUUAAUAGGGCGAAUAAGUAGAUUGACGUAUACCCGAAACCGGGUGAUCUAGCCAUGAGCAGGUUGAAGCUUGGGUAAAACCAGGUGGAGGACCGAACCAGGGUCUGUUGAAAAAGACUUGGAUGACUUGUGGCUAGGGGUGAAAUUCCAAUCGAACCCGGAGAUAGCUGGUUCUCCCCGAAAUAGCUUUAGGGCUAGCGUUGUGAGAAGAGUUAUACGAAGGUAGAGCACUGAAUGGGUGAGGGCCGCACCUCGCGGUACCAAUCUCAAUCAAACUCCGAAUGUCGUAUAAUAUGCACAGCAGUAAGACUAUGGGUGAUAAGGUCCAUGGUCAAAAGGGAAACAGCCCAGACCGCCAGUUAAGGUCCCAAAAUUAUGCUAAGUGGGAAAGGAGGUGGAGUCGCUUAAACAACUAGGAGGUUGGCUCAGAAGCAGCCAUCCUUUAAAGAGUGCGUAAUAGCUCACUAGUCGAGUGAUUCUGCGCCGAAAAUGUAUCGGGGCUAAGCAUAAUACCGAAGCUGCGGGAUUAGAUGAAGAAUCUAAUCGGUAGGGGAGCGUACUAAGUGCGUAGAAGGUUGACCGGAAGGGCAGCUGGAGCGCUUAGCAGUGAGUAUGCCGGUGUGAGUAGCGAUAAGAUGGGUGAGAAUCCCAUCCGUCGAAAGCCUAAGGUUUCCAGGGGUAAGGCUCGUCCUCCCUGGGUAAGUCGGGUCCUAAGGUGAGGCUGAGAAGCGUAGCUGAUGGACAUCAGGUUGAUAUUCCUGAACCACCAUAAAACUGAAGGAAUGACGGAGGAGGCUAAUCAGAGCUGAUUAAUGGAUUUCAGUUUAAGUACAAAGAGGGUUACGUAGGCAAAUCCGCGUAGCAAAACCUUGAAGUAUGAUGACGUAAGUCUGGUGAAGCCACACUUCCAAGAAAAGUUUCUAGGUGUAUUUUAUGGUGCCCGUACCGUAAACGGACACACGUAGGCGAGGAGAGAAUCCAAAGACGCGCGAGAUAAUUCUUGUUAAGGAACUCUGCAAAAUUACUCUGUAACUUCGGAAUAAAGAGGGCUCCCGUGAGGGAGACGCAGAAAAUAGGCCCAAGCGACUGUUUAACAAAAACAUAGGUUUCUGCUAAAGCGUAAGCUGAUGUAUAGGAGCUGACGCCUGCCCAGUGCUGGAAGGUUAAGAGGAGAAGUUAGUCGCAAGGCGAAGCUUUGAAUUGAAGCCCCAGUAAACGGCGGCCGUAACUAUAACGGUCCUAAGGUAGCGAAAUUCCUUGUCAGGUAAGUUCUGACCCGCACGAAAGGCGUAACGAUUUGGGCGCUGUCUCAGCUGUAGACUCGGUGAAGUCUUAGUACCUGUGAAGAUGCAGGUUACCCGCGACUAGACGGAAAGACCCCAUGGAGCUUCACUGCAGGUUGAUAUUGGGAUUUGAUGCAGCAUGUACAGGAUAGGUAGGAGGCAAAGAGAUGGAUACGCCAGUAUUCAAGGAGCCGCUGUUGGGAUACUACCCCUGUUGUAUUGG